Molecule: long non-coding RNA, 617 nt
Filed under: Mus caroli (Ryukyu mouse)
Lineage: Eukaryota; Metazoa; Chordata; Mammalia; Rodentia; Muridae
Description: lncRNA (MGP_CAROLIEiJ_G0006308.1)
Source: RNAcentral
AAGGACCCACCCAGAUUGUGGGCUAAGCCUCCCCUCUCAUGACCCUCAACUGAAAUCACGACUUUUGCCAUGGAAUGCAGAGAUGAGAUCCUGGGGCAGCGGCGAGUUGAAAGGAAAAGGGAAGCAGAAGAAGACAAGGUGUUCUGCCAGAGAUUCCCUGCGUAAUCCACAGAGAGACAGACGGACACAGUAGAAUUCAAAUCCAACCAUACUGCAGAGAGACCCCACAGCAACUAACAUUUAAAACACAAAUGAACCCAGAGGGCAGAAGGAGAAAUGCUAAUAAAUGAAUCUGUGAAAGACAUUUAAAACUUUUAUAUGAUGCGGAUGAAGAUGAUGGCAAUGAGCAGCCGCAGACAGACACUGCAAGACUGAACAAAUACUUCACAUACUCCAAAUAAGAAUGGUGUUGGGUAGGGUGGUGCACACCUUUGAUCCCAGCACUUGGAGGAGGUAGAGGCGGGUGGACCUCCAAGUUCCAGGUUAGCCAGCACUACACCUUGAGAACCAGUUUCACAAAACAACGACGACAGGCCAAACAAACCCAAAGUAGGAACGGUCAAAAUUACUUGGAGAAAACGUUCACCUUCAUAGUGCUUAGAAAGAUGAAACCAUGA